GGGUGCGGUCAUACCAGCACUAAUGCACCGGAUCCCAUCAGAACUCCGAAGUUAAGCGUGCUUGGGCAAGAGUAGUACUAGGAUGGGUGACCUCUUGGGAAGUCCUUGUGUCGCACCCC
Molecule: ribosomal RNA, 119 nt
Filed under: Amborella trichopoda
Lineage: Eukaryota; Viridiplantae; Streptophyta; Magnoliopsida; Amborellales; Amborellaceae
Source: RNAcentral